AAAUUUGAAACCUGAAACGGCCGCGGCCGCUCGCCCUCGCCGCCUAUCCCAUUCAUUCAAUUCCUUUCCUUCUUCUUCUUCAUAUAAACAGAAGGAGCACACACGGGACGGGACGGUCGGCGGUCGCUGCUUCUUCUCCUUCGGUCCAUCCUCUCCUCCACUCCCCUCGCCUCCACCGCGCCCUCGAUUCAGUUCCGUCCCCCCGCGGCUGGAUGGCAUCUCCCCCGCCCUUCGACCUCUGCAGCGAUCUCGACGACGACGAGCCCGUCACCGCCGUCCCCAAGGAUCGCCAUCUCCCUGCCGCCGUCCCCACGCCCAACGGCCUCAACGACCACCUCCUCCGCUUCACCCGCAGCUUCCAGCGCUCCACCCAAAACCCUAACCCUAGCCCCAAUCCGCAACCGCAACCGCCUCCGCCUCCAGAAGCCACCGCCGAAGAACAAGUCGGCAAGGUCAAGCUCGCCGGCCGCCGCCGCCUAUGCAAGCUCGCCACCACCAUUCAGCUAGUGGAUGGGGAGGAGGAGGUGGAUGGGGACAACCAGGACGACAGCGAAAGCAUAUUCGACAUCCUAGAUGACCUCACCACCCGAUUCGACUCUCUAUCCGUCCAGAAACCCGGCCCCACUGAGAGGUCCAGGACACAGCAGCUCGCCCCUCUGCCCUGCGCCAUCACCCUGGACGACAUAGAUGACCAGAUCGCAGAUGAUGGGGAUGCCCGUCCCGGCGCCUCCUCGCCCGUUCAAAUUUCUAGUUCUGAUGAUGAAGCUACGGUCAACACCAGACGCCGUCAGGUCAAGAUUGAAACUACUUCAGUCUCCUCAGCCUCUACCCAUUAUGCCCGUGAUGACGAUGUCCGUGCUAAGGGGAAGAACAAAGGGACCGCCAAGGAUGUUGGGAGGCUAAACAGGGUAUCAAAGGCCUCAUCCGGCUCUGAUUAUGACAACUGUGGGGGGGACCAAGGAACAGGAACUGCUUAUGCUGUUAAGCAGGUAAGAAACGAGGAAUUCGCAAGGAGACCACCCAAGAUCUCAACAUUCAGGAACAAUGACCUCAGUGAUGAUGAGCUGGGUCAGGAGAAGGAGCAUCUUGGAGCUGCGGAGAACAAUUCUGAGGAUGUUGGAUGGGAGAAGACGGAGGACUUCAAGAUGGAUCCAACUGGAACUGCUGCAACAUCCAAGCCAUACAAGCUCCCAGGAAAGAUAUUUAAGAUGCUUUUCUCCCACCAGCGUGAGGGCCUCCGUUGGCUCUGGGUUCUGCACUGCAGGGGAACCGGAGGAAUCCUAGGGGAUGACAUGGGCCUUGGCAAGACGAUGCAGGUUGCUGCAUUUCUGGCUGGAUUGUUUCAUUCUCGUCUAGUCAAGAGGGUGCUCAUUGUUGCUCCAAAGACACUUCUGGCUCAUUGGACCAAGGAGCUUUCAAUUGUUGGGCUUAAAGAGAAGAUAAGAGACUACUCUGGCCCUAGCACAAAUAUUCGCAGUUAUGAACUCCAAUAUGCCUUCAAGGAGGGUGGUAUCCUCCUAACCACCUAUGACAUUGUCCGGAACAACUACAAGCUAAUAAGAGGCAACUCCUACAACAAUGAUGAUGAGGAGGAAGGAACAUUGUGGAAUUACAUAAUUCUUGAUGAGGGGCAUCUAAUAAAAAACAACAAGACACAAAGGGCCCAAAGCUUGUAUGAAAUACCUUGUGCCCAUCGCAUUGUGAUCAGUGGGACACCUAUCCAAAAUAACUUGAAGGAAAUGUGGACUCUGUUCAAUUUUUGUUGCCCAGAUGUCUUGGGAGAUAAACAACAGUUCAAAAUAAGGUUUGAAACACCUAUCCUUCGAGGAAAUGACAAAAAUGCUACUGCUCGAGAGAAGCACGUAGGCUCAAAUGUGGCAAAGGAACUAAGAGAGCGAAUCAAACCAUACUUUUUGCGACGCAUGAAAAGUGAAGUUGUCUUUGAUACUGGUGCAUCAGAAGAAAAAACAUUAGCCAAGAAGAAUGAGCUAAUUGUCUGGCUGAAGCUAACACCAUGCCAGAGGAAACUAUAUACAGCUUUUCUAAAUAGUGAGUUGGUUCAUUUAGCGUUGCAGCCAAAGGCGUCACCAUUGGCUGCAAUCACAAUAUUGAAGAAAAUAUGUGAUCAUCCACUGCUAUUGACUAAGAAAGGUGCUGAGGGUGUCUUGGAAGGAAUGGAUGAAAUGUUGAAUGAUCAAGACAUUGGAAUGGUAGAAAAAAUGGCCAUGAACCUUGCAGAUAUGGCUCAUGAUGAUGAUGCACUGCAAGUUGGUCAGGAUGUCUCAUGCAAGCUAUCAUUCAUCAUGUCCUUGUUGCGGAACCUUGUUGGAGAGGGGCAUCAUGUUUUAAUAUUUUCACAGACUCGUAAAAUGCUAAACCUUAUUCAGGAAGCCAUAAUAUUAGAGGGCUAUGAGUUUUUGCGCAUUGAUGGCACCACCAAGGUUUCUGAGCGGGAGAGGAUUGUGAAGGACUUCCAAGAGGGUCGUGGAGCUCCAAUUUUUCUGCUAACCACACAAGUUGGUGGACUUGGACUUACACUCACCAAAGCAGCUCGCGUCAUAGUAGUUGAUCCUGCAUGGAACCCUAGUACAGACAAUCAAAGUGUUGAUCGUGCUUACCGAAUUGGACAGACCAAAAAUGUGAUUGUAUACCGCUUGAUGACAUCUGCGACCAUUGAAGAAAAGAUAUACAAAUUACAGGUUUUGAAGGGGGCUUUGUUCAGGACAGCUACGGAGCAAAAAGAGCAAACACGUUACUUCAGCAAGAGUGAUAUUCAAGAUCUAUUUAGUUUGCCACAACAAGGAUUUGAUGUUUCCCUCACGCAGAAGCAGUUGCAAGAAGAGCAUGGUCAACAACUUGUUAUGGAUGAGUCCUUGAGGAAGCAUAUACAGUUUCUGGAGCAACAAGGAAUAGCUGGUGUGAGCCAUCACAGCCUCCUAUUCUCUAAAACUGCAACCCUGCCCACGUUGAGUGAGAAUGAUGCACUGGACAGCAAACCUCGGGCCAUGCCGAUGAUGCCCCAGCACUAUUACAAGAGAUCCUCAUCUGACUAUGUUGCCAGUGGCUUUUGCGUUGAAGCCAAAAGAUGAAAGUUUCACUGUUCGAAAGUACUCUCCAAGCAACAGAAGCGCAGAGAGUCCUGAAGAGAUAAAGGCGAGAAUCAACCGGCUUUCACAGACCCUCUCCAACGCUGCGCUGGUGUCGAAGCUACCAGAUGGUGGUGAGAAGAUAAGGAGGCAGAUAAGCGAGCUGGAUGAGAAGCUGGCUUCUGCUGAGAAGGGGCAGAAGGAGGAGGCCACUGAAGUGAUUUCCUUGGAUGAUCUGAUUACAGAUAUGAAGAACAUAACAGUGCCCAUUUAGGCUGUCGGGAGUCUGAGUAUCCAUUUAGGCGUGCUGGCUGGGACUAGGUGGUGCGAAAGUGUUUUGAAGUUGUAGUUGUUGGUAGACGCUAGUAAUAGCUUUAGUCACUGGGUUGUGACUAGCAAGGCCACCACCACGUCUGCAUCACGAUGCUAGACAGCCUAUUGUGUUAUUUUGGUAUGACUCAAAAUGCUGUCUGGCUUUAUUUGUAGACCACGAACAAGACCAGGAGGAAAUGGCACCAAUCAAGUAUGCUCUUUUGCUGCAUCUCCGCCUCCGGGUUGGGUUUAUCAUUUAAGCAAUGCAUGCAGGAGUAUGUUUCUAAUCAGAACGCACUGGUGAACCUUUAAUCAGUAGUACAUUCCUAGCUGUAAUCUGUAUAUAUAUGUUGCUUGCACGAAAUCUGUAUAAAGAAAGUCAAUAGAAUCUUAGC
RNA transcript from Sorghum bicolor (sorghum), 3793 nucleotides. It is a transcript of the gene named protein CHROMATIN REMODELING 24, with no coding region annotated. NCBI's taxonomy places the organism in Eukaryota, Viridiplantae, Streptophyta, Magnoliopsida, Poales, Poaceae. The record is from RefSeq and is a predicted model, not a curated record. The transcript has 20 exons.